UGAGUCUAUAAAUCCUGGGAGUUUUUAGAUUCGAUCUCUAGAGAAGGCAAAUAAAGGGAUUAGUAUGAUUCUAGAAUGGACACAAAAAUAUCUUUUUAUAAUAUUUGGCCAAAUGGAUAUUAGCUUAAUUUGGAUUUUGCACCAUAAUUAAGCACUCUUUAGUUCCCUCUAAGCUAUUGUAUAAUUAUUUAUCGAAUAAAAAAGUCAACCGACCAACAAACCAGUCGACAGUGGCAGAAGCCAGCAGUUCUUGCUUUAGGUCUCUGAAGAUCGAAACAGGGAGAGAAAGAAUGGCAAGAGCGGGAUUACAAACGCUGUCAAUGUAGGGAUAGCAGU
RNAcentral lists this unclassified non-coding RNA (336 nucleotides) under Hevea brasiliensis (rubber tree). Lineage: Eukaryota; Viridiplantae; Streptophyta; Magnoliopsida; Malpighiales; Euphorbiaceae. The record is from RNAcentral.